This 252-nucleotide unclassified non-coding RNA is filed under the name uncultured fungus. Its description in RNAcentral is "sequence contains 5.8S rRNA gene". The stretch from base 1 to 53 matches the Rfam family "5.8S ribosomal RNA", at positions 102 to 154 of the family's 154-position model. The record is from RNAcentral. Lineage: Eukaryota; Fungi.
GAACGCACAUUGCGCCCCUUGGUAUUCCAUGGGGCAUGCCUGUUCGAGCGUCAUUUGUACCCUCAAGCUCUGCUUGGUGUUGGGUGUUUGUCCUCUCCCUUGUGUUUGGACUCGCCUUAAAGCAAUUGGCAGCCAGUGUUUUGGUAUUGAAGCGCAGCACAAUUUGCGAUUCUGACUGGUAUUGUUAGCGUCCAGUAAGCACAUUUAACACUUUUGACCUCGGAUCAAGUAGGGAUACCCGCUGAACUUAAG